AGCCACCGCCUUCGAGAAGGUGGCAGGCAGGGCACAGUCCAUCUUAAGUUCACCACAGACAGACAGAGCAUGGCAGCCCAGCCACUGAACUGAACAGGAGUCUACGAACAGAAAUCCUGGUACAGUGCGAAGGAUGGAGCUCAGUCAGCAAACUUCAGCUUACUCUGCAGGCUGCUCAACCCAUGGUCAUCAGAAGAAGCUGACCACCACCUUCCCUUGUAUCACCCGCUCUGUGCCAAAGGACCCGCUCCUCUAGCCCCUAAGGCAUGAAGCCCUGAGCCACCUGUCAGAGGAGCUGGGAGCAGCUCCCUAGUGAUGGAGGACAGCCCCGUGCCAACUGCUACCCUUUCCUGAACUAUGGGGCAUCCAACAGGCAAAGCUACAAGAGACAGCCUCACCCUUUCCAGCUGGCUGUCCCUGAGACGGAGGGAUGGGACUGUCGGCAUGAGUUGGAAGUGAGCCACCAGUUGCCUGAGUGAAGUGGACAUUGGAUGCCAAGGGAUAGCCUCAUUCCCUGCUUAGCUCUGCAUGUGGGAAGUACCCAGUGCAGGCAUGGACAGAAGGAAAGGCUCAGAUUGGGCACAAGUCAGGCCUAUGGAGCAUCCUGCUUCAUGCCUUCCUCUGCUUCAUGAUUUGGGGAAAACACACCCUUCCUUUUUUUUUAAGAUUUAUUUAUUAUUAUAUCUAAGUAUACUGUAGCUGUCUUCAGAUGCACCAGAAGAGGGCAUCAGAUCUCAUUACAGAUGGUUGUGAGUCACCAUGUGGUUGCUGGGAUUUGAACUCAGGACCUUCGGAAGUGCAGUCGGUGCUCUUAACCACUGAGCCAUCUCUCCAGCCCCGAAAACACACCCUUCUUAUGCCCCUUUACUUUGUUCAUUGGGGGACAUAGGGAUUCUAAUAGAACUUCGCUUUAGGAUCAGGGCAGGUCCAAAGAACACAAGAGCUUAUGCAGAUACUCUGCAGCCCUCCCAGCAGCCCUUUGGAAUAGACACAGAGAAGUCGAGAGAUACACAGAGUUCAAGGGCACACAGCUCAUCAGAGGCAAGGCCAGUGCCAGACUCUAAGCAGUGUGACUCAGACCCGAGAUCCUUCUCUCCUCUUGGCAAAGGGCUCCUUGUAUGGAUCCAUGGCUCCUCUUUCUCUCACUGACCAGGAGCAGGGCUGCUCCGAGGAAGAAGGCUGCCACCUGCCCUGCUGCAGGAGAAAGACACAGCCUUCUAAGAGGUACUUAAGAGGUGUCCCUGAGGGCUCAUUAAGUUCGUGGCUCUUCCUGGUCCCACCUGUGUGAACUCCACCCACCUCUGUCUUUGAAAAGUCUUAGAGCAGGGUAUUCAAAACCCCUUAAUUCGGGGAGGUAUCAGGGAAGGGCGGGUGCCUAGGUAAGCAGAUGCUACGGAAGGAACCAAAGAGUUUAUCCGAGACUCAGCCGGAUCGGGAAGGGAUGUCACAGCCUGAGGUUUCUCUCUCCUUGGUCUCUGUGUCUGUCCCCAUUGGCAGCUCUCCCAUUCAACCUGGACGCCCUGGUCCACCUUCCCAGGCCCUUUCUUCCCAGAUCCAGCAUCCUCCACAUCCUCUUCUCUGUGCUGAGAUCAGGUUUGCCCUUCCGGAUCCAUCCUGCCCUCCUGUGCCUGUCACUAUGCCUGGAGUAGAUCCUGCCCUCCUGUGCCUGUCACUAUGCCUGGAGUAGAUGACUUGGCAGAGCAUCUCCCGUCUCCCCUGACCUUAGAGACGAGUGGUCCCAAGAACUCCAAAGAUGGGGAACAGAGCAGUGAGUGGGACAUGUGCCCCAAUCUGGAGACUCUCCCUCCCAUGGGCUCACUCUGUCCCUGUUCCCUCUACCUCCCCAUGUGUCUUCUCUGUUAUGCUAAACCGUGCUCUCUAUGCCCCUGGGACUCUGACCAGGGCUUACCAUCUCCCUGGGGGUCUCUCCUCCCCCUCCAGUCUGGUCCCUAUCCUCCCCAAAGCUUCAUCUUUCCAGGAUGCUGCAUCUUGCUGUCCAGUUAUUUCCAGAUCUGUCUUUCUAAUUCCACCCCAGCCAAUUCUGGCUGUGUCUGCCUUAUUGUCUUCAUUUCUCUUUCCCUCCCCAGACUCUGUGGAAACAUUCACUUCAAGCACAGCACUCUCCCUUUCCCAGGAUGCACAGGGGAGUGUUCACAGUGAGGAUCUGUGAGCCCCUGAGGAAGGUAUCAGUGGAACUAGUGGCUUGCCCCAACAUCUGCUCCUGGAUCCUCACUUUGUGACUAUCUGAAGGGAUGAGUGUGUGACAGCCACUGUGUCAUGAGACUGUCCCCUCCCAACUGAAGCACUUGCACCUAGAAGGGAAGGAGGCUCACAGGUCUCAGUAAGGAAAGGAAACACACAAAGUUCAGAAGGGCCUGAAACUUACAAGAUUCCUGACACCCUUUCCAAUGUUACAUAAGCAGUAACAAUGGCUGGCGACUCUUGGGUGGAGCUGCCUGUAGGAAGCCCAAGGAAGGUAAAUUUCUUGAAUCACUCAUGCUGGGGUGGGUAGUGCAUGCUACAGCUGCCUUGAGUCAUCUGUGGUCCUGUAAGCAAUCUAAUAAGCUCACUGGGUCACCAAGCUGCACUCGGAUAAGUGAUUUCUUUGCUCAUCGGCACCCAAGCUGGGGCAAACUGGCAUCUCUUCACAUCUCCCCAGGAAAACUCACACAACAGACGCCCCUGUGGCCAGCUAAGGUGGAGCCUGGGAAUAAAGUAACGAGUCUGCUCCCGCUACUCUGUGUUCAGAGCCCCCUGGCUCCCCUCAUCAGAACGCCAUCACCCGAUGUCAUGAGGCUGUCACCCUCAACUCCAGAGAUCCCUGCCUCUUCUUCAUCUCCCCCUCCCACGAGCCCCUUCUUCCCCAAGAGUCAUCCUUGACUCUCCUCUUCCUGAAGCCCCAUCCUGGGCUACUCUCUCCACAGUGGAUCUUCAGAGCAUCUGUUGGCUUCCAGCCCCCACUGCCUGGGGCACUCCACCCUGUGUGGAGGCCAUCUCUCUAAGGCUCUGCUGCAGACCCCUCCUCUCUGAGCAUCUGCCAGCCUCACUUCUAACGAGUCCACCCUGGGAUCCACCUACCUGCCUGGCCCUGGGCCCCUGGAUGCCAGAGGGAUGCUUCGACCCUGCAGAGCCACCUCGAAGAGCCUGCUGUUGUCAUGGUGAUGUGCUUCUCUCCCUGAGAUGUGCAGACUGCAUGGCUGGAGUUGGAUGUCAUGUCUCCCGGCCUGCCUGCCUGAGGACAUGGUGGCUCUUCCCGGGAGUCCUCCCCAAACAACCCAGUUGGAAGUGACCUUGCUAACUUUUUAAAUUUAGAUUUAUUUUUAUGUGUGUUAA
This is a long non-coding RNA of Mus musculus (house mouse), 3333 nucleotides long. RefSeq annotates it as predicted gene, 34074. The transcript has 2 exons. The record is from RefSeq and is a predicted model, not a curated record. NCBI's taxonomy places the organism in Eukaryota, Metazoa, Chordata, Mammalia, Rodentia, Muridae.